AUAAAUAUAAAUAUAAAAACUCAUUAAAACUUAUGAAAGAUUGAUAGGGAAUUUAUAUUUUUGUCGGAGAGGUUUAUAUAAUGUACUAACCAUGAAUGCAUAAAAUAAUAAAAAUUUCAAGUAAUAUACAUGAGUUGAGAAUCCACUAGGUUUGAUCUAUAGUGGUAAAAGAUUUGAACAGUAUGCAUAUAAAGUUCUAAGUUUGAUUCUUACGGAUCACUCCAUUGUAAACGAAAAACUAUAUAUAGAUUAGUUGACUUAAAAGCAGGGACGUAAAAUUGUACGAAAGUUAUUUGAGGAUUAAAAUUUACUGAAAUUUUUUGUUGGAACUAAGAAAACAUUUGACGUAUUUAUAGGGAUAAAAUAUUUAUUUAACCCUAUAAAUUAAUAUAAAAACAUGAUAUUAAAUUUUGUAUAGAAAUNNN
This 425-nucleotide long non-coding RNA is filed under the name Trifolium pratense (red clover). RNAcentral's name for it is "long non-coding RNA (TPRA_LNC005201)". Lineage: Eukaryota; Viridiplantae; Streptophyta; Magnoliopsida; Fabales; Fabaceae. The record is from RNAcentral.